This 28-nucleotide non-coding RNA is filed under the name Bombyx mori (domestic silkworm). Lineage: Eukaryota; Metazoa; Arthropoda; Insecta; Lepidoptera; Bombycidae. The record is from RNAcentral.
UCGACCGGAACUUCGGACAGGCGGCUAA